GUGGCGGGGAGGGAAGCGAGCCAGGGCACCCAGAUCCUGCCCCCGACGGGUAGGAACUGUGGCCGUGUCCCCGCGCCCACUUUAGCUCACGCUGCUAGACGGGACCCCAGGCGUCCUCAGCGGACACGGGUCCUUUGGCUCCAGGAAGCAGGCUGUCUGAGCGGCUCCAUCCUCCACGUCCUCCUCGGGGAGGACGGCCUGCGGGCGGGGUGUGACUUCUCUGCACACCCCCCUGCUUCUCAUUACCUCCCUACACACAGAGAAGGCAGGAAGCUCCUCUCUAAGACCAGCAUCAUGGUUUUCUCGGCUCUCUGGCUGCUGAGGGCUUGGAGUGAGAUGCGAUGAAUGUCUCUUUGCUGGUUGUCUGGGGACAGUGGCAUUGUUACCUGACCGCAGGGACGGGAUUGGAAUAGUUCCUCUUAAAGGGCCACACUCCCAAAGGUUCAAGGCUCCUUCCCAGGAAGGCUGUGGAGGUCCGGCCUCUGAGACCCAUGGGUGAGGAAGUUGCCGCGCCAAGCGGCCUCUGUAUCAGAAGCCAGUCAGCAAGCUGCCGGGACAGCCCUGCUGCACCAUGUGCUCGCUCUGUGCCCUUAACUCGUAGUCACCCCAUGCCUCUGCUGUGCCUGGAACUCUUGGGGGAGGCGGCAAGCCCCUUGCCCUCCCCGAGCUCACCUUCUGCCAGGUUAGACGUCACCUGUGUGUUCCAGACUGCAGGGCCUCGGCUAGUGGGUAAAAGUCGUAGGGAGGUGGGUUUGGGUUGGAUUCUAGGAAGACCUUUCUAACUCUUCAAGUGCCAUCAGAACAGAAUGGGCUGCCUUGUGGGCUGGUGAGCACCCUGGCUCUGAAGACGUCCCGAGAGAGAUGGAGGGCAUGCAGGAUGCAGUGAAGAGGCUCUAAAUGGAUUCCCAUGAUUUCGUGUGAGUGUGGGCAGGACCCACGUGACUGUAUAUCCCAACCAAGAGAAUCCAGCAGCGAUGAUAGGAUGUCACCUCCGUGGUUACAGGAUAUAAAGUUGCGUCAUCUCUCUCACUGAAGGGCUCUCUCUUUUGCUGACUCUGAUGGAGCUAGGGGCCAUGUUGGGGAGGCGGACGUGGCAGGAGCUGCAACAGCCUUGGGCCAACAACCAGCCGGGAAGUGAAGAUGACCUCUGGCCAAGAGCCAGCGAGAAAUUGAGGCCAUCAGUCCACCAGGACAGACGUAACCGAAUUCUGCCAACAACCCAGGGAGUUUGGAAGCAGACCCUUCCCCACUUGAGCCUCAGAUGAGACCACAGCCCCGACUUUCAUUGCAGCUCUCAGAUGAGAUAGAAGCCGAGCACCCAGCCAAGACCCACUGGACUCUUGAGCCGCAGAGAUGGGAGAUAGAAGUGAGUGGUUUCUUAAGCUGCCAAGUCAUGGUGCUGUCAUGAAGCAGUAACAGACCACCUGUAUCGUCUAUCGUAAAGGAAAUGGUACAUCAGCCAGAAGGCCGGACCGGCUUCCCUAGGCAUCUGUUUCCACCCUGGAGACUCUCGAGCCGUGGCUCACUCAUCUGUAUCUGCUGCAUGGUGCUUAGCUCAGUUUCUUGCAUAAAAUGGUCUUGAUGCAUAUUUGUUAAGUGAUCUGCUGCCUUAGCACUGGCUUAUGCAGCAGAGAAACAGGAGGCCUGGCCUAUGAGGAAGAGGUAUCUGAGCAGCUCUGGGAUGAGACCAGAAGCCUGGAACGUCCAGCUAGGCUUGGACCUUGGGCAAGGCUGUCUGCCCUUUGCACACCUUAUCGAUAAAACCUCGGACUCAGCUACUCACGGGUUUGUGCAGGUCGAAUGAGCUAAUGCGACCGCCCGUUAAGAGGCCCACGGAGUUGAGAUGUACGAGUUCUUUGUAUAUUUUGGAUAUUAAUUUUGGAUAUUAACCCCGGAUCGGAUAGAAGAUUUUGCCUGUAUUUUCUCCCAUUCGAGAUGCUGAGCUGGUCAGUGUCCCAGCAGGACCUGGAACCAUGGGCUCCCGUGACCCUCCCAGGCCCACAGCUGUCUUUCUAGAGGCCCCAAGACGAAGGUCGUCCCUGGCCCUGGGUGAGUGCUGAGGCACUAGGGCAUCCUAGGUUCCGUGGACACCCAGUGGCCGUCGCAUCUCUUGACUGGCCACGGCCACAGGGUCCACAGGCGGGGACGGAAGGAGCCGCGUUUUCUUACCCACGCCAGACUCCUGGGACUCUCACCUCACGGUGCUUCUCUUGGCCCCGAGACCAGACUGGCAGGGAAGAAGGUUGGAGCCGGUCCCAGAGGAGUGCUGGCGGGGGGGGGGGUGCUUUUCAUCACCUUUAAUGAUCUGACAUCAACAGCAGCCUGCUAAUAGGUGAUCUCCGCAUUCCCGUAUUUACGCUAAUUAGUUAAUAUCCACGGAGGGCGGUGAAGGUGGCAGCGAGACGUCUGCCAAGGAGAGUGAUUCAUAAGAAAAGGAGAGACCGCCCAAAUCUGGAGGCCAUCGCCCAGCUGGCACGUCCCGCAGGGGCGUCCCUCGGGGGCUGCAGGCUCUGACAAGCAGCGUGGUGGUGGUAGGCGAGCUUGCUUUGCAGAGGGAGCGGGCCCUCUGGGGCUUUUGGUGGACACCGGGUGCUGGGGGCUCCUGCUCUGCU
This is a long non-coding RNA of Phacochoerus africanus (Common warthog), 2612 nucleotides long. RefSeq lists it as uncharacterized. The transcript is spliced from 4 exons. Lineage: Eukaryota; Metazoa; Chordata; Mammalia; Artiodactyla; Suidae. The record is from RefSeq and is a predicted model, not a curated record.